Molecule: long non-coding RNA, 505 nt
Organism: Gopherus evgoodei (Goodes thornscrub tortoise)
Lineage: Eukaryota; Metazoa; Chordata; Testudines; Testudinidae
Exons: 2
Source: RefSeq, a predicted model, not a curated record
UGCUGUCUCUGGCGUGACUGUGCCAUUCGCGUAUCCUAGUACGGCGCAGGCUGCAGUUGAACAAGCGAUAGCUACCGUAUGGAUCGGGUUUUAUGCCAGUCCUAAUGCUGUCCUGGCCAGAACUGUUCUGAAGUCAUCUUGUUGAUCAGGGAAACUUGCAGGUGUGGGGACUGGUUUUGCAGAAGAUUACAAUUGAAAAUUACUGUUCAAGAAGGUUUUGUUUAGGGCCUGAUCCAAAACCUGUUAUAAUUAAUAGAAAGACUUCCACUGACUUCACAGGCCUUCAGGUCAGGCCCUUUAAUCUUUUUUCAUAAUUAUAGUAAUUUUAAUUUCAUAGCAAGGCAUCUCAAGAUGCAAUGGACACAGUGUGAUUUGAUUUACAUUUGAUUUCUAGUAUUCACAGCACACACAUCCAUGUUUUUAAUAUUCAUAGCAGUUCAACUCUAAUUGCUAAGCAAGUGACACCUCACCUAAUCUUUCUUAAAUAAAUAUGUUUAUUCUGUUA